Long non-coding RNA from Bombyx mori (domestic silkworm), 2711 nucleotides. RefSeq lists it as uncharacterized. The record is from RefSeq and is a predicted model, not a curated record. The transcript has 2 exons. NCBI's taxonomy places the organism in Eukaryota, Metazoa, Arthropoda, Insecta, Lepidoptera, Bombycidae.
AAAAGUGUAUAAUUUUCCAACAAGAUCAAAAUUAAAUACAUGCAGUAAACAAAAUCAAUAGCUAUCAUAAACAAAAAACAAGUACAAUCACAAAUUUUAUUAUUCUACGAAGGCUUCCAAUGGUUGUCAUAUCAAAAUCAACUAAUUAUUUGUCAUUUAUGAUGACAUUUUCAUAAACAUUGUUUUCGUUUUUUUGAAUCAAUUUCGAUUACAAACUUGAAAAUAAUAAUAAUUUAAUUAAUUGUUCGGGGAAUUUUUCAGUAAAAGUAACACGUUUCUCAGAAUGAAAUUGGUCUAGUGAAAUAACUUUUCGUUUUCCACGGAAAUAAACUAAGAAAGCUGUAUCGAAAGUUAUCAGAGCAUCGGGUCAGGAAAUAUCAUAACAAUGUUGGAUAAAUAAAGGCAUAUUGGUGGCAAUGAUGGGAGCAGACGGUUCACCCGUUGUAUCACGUCCCUCGAGAUGAAACGAAUGAGUACUACCCUCGCAGACUGCGAAACUUUCGCCUUUCCGCUAUAGAAACCGCAAUUUUUGAUCCCACUGUAUUCAAGCCAUAUUACUUUUUAUAUUGGUCCGAAUGGAUCGAUACAGAUCGGUCUUUCAUGUCUUUUUUUUUAUCUAUAGAAUACCAGUUUUGGAACUUCUUAUGCUUCACAAACUAUGAACAUUUUAGCUCAUUUAACCACGGCUUCGAUUAAUAUUUAGAACUUCUUAGUUUGGUAUACAAUUAGUUAAGCUUAAAAUAUUUCGCAGGUCACAGUAAAUAUAUUUCGUAAUUUAAUAUUUUAAGUAUCUUUAUCUUGCCAGUUUUGUCACGAUGGAAAUCUAGACGAACAUCGAAAGCCGUUGCUAUAGUCCAGAUUACGUCGGAAGUACAUGAUUCAAUGGAAAUAAUAAAAAGAUACAGUGUAACCGAGAUAAAUGUAGGAAUCAGAGGGCUAUUAACAUCGUUUUGCGGAUGAGCGCCGACAGUAAUUGCCGUGUCGGCGUGCGGACACAAAAUUUAUGGCGCCCACUGCGGAUAAUUGAGUCGACUCUCUAGUUACUGUGGUCUUUGCGACACCUGCCAAACACAUUCGGAGCCUCUUACAAAACCUAUUUCAUUAAUAAAAUUAGCUUCGAAAACUACUUACAUGGGUAAUACAAACCAAUUUUUUCAAAUGAUACGAUUUAUAAAGUAUAUUAAUUGAUAUGUCGUUAUCCUUCCAAUUUGCAAAAUUGCAAUACUUCUGUAAAUAACUGGAAGGGCGAAUUUGCAGUUCUCUCAAGGAAAUAUUUCCAGUAAAGUACAGCAACGUACUUGCGAGAAGCUGUAAGCGGAUUAUGAGAGGUUUCGAAGUAGGCUGCUUUGAAACUCGCAAGGAAAGCAAUAUCCAUUAUCUUGGCGGGGCUUUGUAUGCCGACCGCUGCGCAUUGUUGAUCGCCUGCAUCGCUCGCACCCAUCAAAUUGUUUGACUUAUGAGAUAGAACCCUCGAAAAACCUUAUAUUAAUAUUCGAAAUGAACCAUUAAUACAAAAUAAUUGAAUAGUCCAACAAAGAAAAUGUACAAACAGAACUUUUUUAAAUUCUUCAAACGAAAAAGCUCUCAAAUACUGUUAUCCAUCUCAUUAUACCUAUCAGGUAUUAUUAAAGUGAAUUUUUAAUUAAAGAAGGCACCUAAAAAUUUGAUUAAGAAAAAUUAGGUCGACUAUAAUGGAAAACAUUUUCGACCUUUUCGCUUUUUACAGAAUUCAUGCAAAAAUAUAUAAUGUAAUUUCAGAGUCGGGAUAGACAACGUUCAGAUAAUGAAAUAUCAACAAAGGCUCAACCACAUCUAACAAUUUUAAGCUUGGGUUUUGUUUUCUGUCUCCGGGACAUGCCGAUUUGUACCUUAUUGGAACAGUACUAGACUAGUACUUAUCUUCUCGCAUAUGCCGUAAAAAAACUACUCACUGAUCGCCAACUAGUAUUUACUGGUCGUGUCAUAAGCCUACACGGAUAGAUAUCAUUAGUCUUCGAAGAAUUCGCCCGGUUCGAAGUGUGAGACAUUUGUAACACAAUGCAAUUGAAACUUUGAUCUCAUGCCUCAAGAUGGGUGACGGCAUUCACAUCGUGAUGUCUAUGGGCUCUGGUGACAAUUUAACACCGUGUGAACUGCUAGCUCGUUUUCCCGUGCAAUAAUACCUAAUAGAAAAUUAGACCCUAGGCUUGGUCACACAUCAACUCAAUUAAACUAUUGUAUAUAAUAGAAAACUGUCACAUUUAAUAGUAAAAAAAAACAUACAUCAUUUGUGAAUAAGUCAACUAGUGUAGACUAUGGAACAGCAUUAAUUUUCUUUGUGCUUUGUACUGUGCGUUUCAUAGGGAAUGUUCUGAAGAAUUGUUGGAGAUGACAAUACUAUCUUUAUAUUACUAAUACUAUCUUAUCUUUCUACUAUUAUGUAACACGUCGCGGGAGUAAAAUUCAUACCUCCUACAAUGUUGGUUCAAGCACUUUUACAUCCUGAUAAAACAGAGAUUCAUAUUGUAAAAAAAAAAAAUAUUAUCCGUACUUACGAGCGGCACUGUCUCCACGGUGGACUUUGAUGAACUCCCUAAGCCUGUAAUCCUCGCAUAUCACGUAACUGACGCGAUGUUUUCAUGUUUAUUAUCAGGCAGGAUUAAAAGGAUAACAUGUAUUAGGCUUUUCUAGAACAUUAACUCCACCGCUGUAAAUAAACGACACACGUUACA